This is a long non-coding RNA of Acyrthosiphon pisum (pea aphid), 1938 nucleotides long. RefSeq lists it as uncharacterized. NCBI's taxonomy places the organism in Eukaryota, Metazoa, Arthropoda, Insecta, Hemiptera, Aphididae. The transcript has 3 exons. The record is from RefSeq and is a predicted model, not a curated record.
GUUAAUUUUAAAUUUAGAAAUAAUUUACCUCUUAUAAAAAUUCUCUUAUAAAAAUUAAAGAUAAGAUUAAUAUCUAGGGCGUCUCGGAGGGCUUUUAGUGAUAUCUUUACUAAAAAUUAAAAUGGCAGUUAUCAAUUUUUUUAGAAUAAACAUAACUUACUUAAAAAUAUUAAUAUGAAGAAAAUCCUUUGAACCGCUCUGGAUAAUAUUCUUACCUUUAAAUUGUAUAAGAUGUAAAUUCACUUGAAUUUUAGAAAUUACAAUGUAAAAUGUGUUAUUGUGAACGAAAAUUUACAGCUUUGUAUGUUUGUAAGUUGGAGGCAACAAAUGCCCAAAGCAAACUUCCUUCCAUUUUACUCUAUCAUGAACUCCUUCAUUAAAGUAGUAUACCCCUGGUUGUAUUUUGUCUUAUUACCUUGAAACAAACAUAUCUUAUCAGAAAUGUUUUUUUUUUUUUGUUUAAACUUAAUUAAAAUCCACAAUUAAAACUUCAACGGGAACAAUACAGAUUAUACAUAUUUUUGCAUUAGAUUCUUAGCUGAGCGAUGUAUAUAUUGGUUUUACUGUGAUAUGGUUUUUCUCAUAGUCGUUAAUGAUAUUGUUUUUCUCAAGGUUUGUUAAUGAUAGAAAAUUGAGUUAAAUAUAUUUUUUUUAAAAACCUACAAAAGUUGUACUCGUAGUAUUUUUUUGAAGUAUAUUAAGUUCAACCUUUGACACAGUUUUCCUUAAUUCUUUUAGAUUAAAGAUUGGUAAUUUUAGUAUUUCAUUAUAUUGAUUAUUGAUACAUACAUAAAUUAAAUUGAUUUUAUUUUAUAAAUUUAGAAUAUUAGGUGUUGCGUACCAGGAUGCAAAACUGUUAAUAUUAAUGUUACUAGUGAUGAAGAUAUCAGAUUAUUACGACCUAAAAGAGAAAAUUUAAUUAACUGGAGUUUAAUAUUACAAGUAAGGUUAACUUUGGACAGUUGCAUAUGUGAAAGGCAUUUCCGACGCGAAGAUCUUAGAUAUCCAAGAGUAUUUAUAGAUGGUCCAAUUAUAAUAAAACCAUCAUUAGUUCCUUCUGCAAUGCCAAUUCCAAUUGAUAAUGUUGAGGAGAAGUAUGGUUCAAAAAGACCCUCCUUUGAUGUCGGAUCAAACAAAAAAAAAAAAAAAAAUUCCAAUUAAUGCUACUCAAUCUUAUGCUAGAAAUAAUUUACAAGAUAAUACAGAUUAGUGUUCUCCAUCUAAUAAUUCCAUGUCAACUGAUGACUGUUCAACCAUAGAAUAAAAGCUAAUACACAACUCGAGUAAUACUUACUACUUAACUUUAAAUAUUUCUGGAAUUCUAAAUAUUAUGAAACCAAACCGUUAAUUUAAUUCAUUAUUUUUAUUGUAUUUACAUAUUUUUAAGUGUAUUUAUAAGUCAUUUGUAUUUUUGUAAAAAAAAACUAUCAUUGUAAUCUUUUAUGUUAAUUUUAAUAACACUACAUUUAGUGUUAUAACGAGGGUUCGAGAACUGCCAGGAAUAGUAAAUACAUUCCAAGUUAUUAUUCAUAUUCUAAUUAAAUUUAUUUCAAACUGGAAUGGUACAAUUCCUGCAAACAAAAAAUUAUGUAUAUGUUUGUUAGGUUAUAUAGAAAAAUGACAACUUUAUAGCAAACUAUUUAUACCACAUGAUGAACAAUGUAUAUUGUUAUGUUUUACACACAGUGGUGCUGAGUUCAGUUAAAAAUAGUGGUUCUUCGAAAACUAGAAGGUCUAUUUUCAUUGGAUUUUCGUAUAUAAAGUGUUGCCAUUCGUCACAUUAUAUCAUACUAUAGUAAUAGUAGCAAAUUAGUACAAAUUAGUAUUUUUUUCUAUAUAGAUAUUUAAAACUACUUAUAAUGUAAUUGAUUGAUAUAAUAAUUUUGAUAUUUCACCAUUAUAUGUUUAACCUACGUUUGUUAUUAUCCGAAGUUAAUA